Molecule: small nuclear RNA, 107 nt
Organism: Cavia aperea (Brazilian guinea pig)
Lineage: Eukaryota; Metazoa; Chordata; Mammalia; Rodentia; Caviidae
Source: Ensembl
GUGCUCACUUCAGCAGCACAUAUAAUAAAACUGGAAUUAUACAGAGAAAAUUAGUGUGGGCCCUGUGUAAGGAUGACACUCAAAUUCAUGAAGCACUCCAUACUAAA